Vitis vinifera (wine grape) is the source of this 1008-nucleotide RNA transcript. RefSeq lists it as uncharacterized. NCBI's taxonomy places the organism in Eukaryota, Viridiplantae, Streptophyta, Magnoliopsida, Vitales, Vitaceae. The record is from RefSeq and is a predicted model, not a curated record. The transcript is spliced from 2 exons.
AAAUAGUGCCAUUUUGAGAACACGGGGAACAACAAAAACAAAAAUGACUCUUUCAACCAAACAAGUUUUUGGUGUUUUUUGUUUUCAAGAACAGAAAACAGUUCUUGAAAACACUAAACAAACAGGCCUAUACUUUUCAACAUAGGUGUCGUUUUUGUCGCCAAACAGGUCCUAACUUCUAAGAAUUUGGCUUAGCAUCAAUGCGGAAAAUAAUUGGGUUUCGGUAUGUUUGGAGAGACACAGGGUCACCUUUUCAAGCAUGGAAAUUUCUUUGGGAUAAGGCGAUUUGAUUGGUGGGAUCCAAACACAUAUCCUUGGGAUUUGACCGCCCAAAAUUAAAUCACAAUUUUCACAUGCCUCAUCUCUUCUGAAUCUCUGAUUGGAUAUUUUUGGUUGAAAACCCUAACUAAACUAACCCUAAUCCUUCCAAAUUUCUGCAGAUAAAAAGAGAUUCUAAUUCUAUUUUCAUCUGGAAGUUGAAGGAUUUUCUGCCAUGGAAGUCAAGGGAGGAGAAAAAGAGAGUCAGACGGUGGACAGUACAAACAAGGGAAGCGACGGUUCCUCUGUUGGGAUUAAGUUUCUGUUCUUUGCAAGAGCUCGGGAUCUUACAGGUGGCCUCACUGAUAUGCCAAUGGAGGUGCCAUCGGGUAGCACAGCCCAUGACUGUCUAAAUAAGCUUGUUGCCAAAUUCCCGAGAUUGGAGGAGAUUCGUGGAUGCAUGGUCCUGGCAUUGAACGAGGAGUACACACCUGAGUCCACUGUUGUCAAGGACCGAGACGAAUUGGCCAUCAUACCUCCAAUAAGUGGAGGCUAAUUCUCUUCCCCACCAAAUCUUCCGAGCUGUCUAAAAUUCAUGCAAAGGGAAGUUUCCUUGUGCCUUGUUGUGCAAACCUGUCCAAAUAUUCAAAAACUUUCAUGAAUAAUCCUUGAGUUUCUCGUUAAGGGUAUCUCUUGAAAUCAUUUUACCUUCGAGAACUGAGCCAUUAAUGGAAAGAUUUGAUGAAGAAA